AGUUUGAUUAUGGCUCAGAUUGAACGCUGGCGGGAUGCUUUACACAUGCAAGUCGAACGGCAGCACGGACUUCGGUCUGGUGGCGAGUGGCGAACAGGUGAGUAAUGUAUCGGAACGUGCCUAGUAGCGGAUAACUACACGAAAGCGUAGCUAAUACCGCAUACGCCCUUCGGUAAGCGGGGGACAGCCGGGCCUCGCACUAUUAGAGCGGCCGAUAUCGGAUUAGCUAGUUGGUGGGGUAACGGCUCACCAAGGCGACGAUCCGUAGCUGGUUUGAGAGGACGACCAACCACACUGGGACUGAGACACGGCCCAGACUCCUACGGGGAGGCAGCAGUGAAAUUUUGGACAAUGGGGAAACCCUGAUCCAGCCAUCCCGCGUGUGCGAUGAAGGCCUUCGGGUUGUAAAGCACUUUUGGCGGGAAAGAAACGGCGGGAUAAUACCCGUGCAACUGACGGUACCUGCAGAAUAAGCACCGGCUAACUACGACCCGCGGUAAUACGUAAGUGCAAGCGUUAAUCGGAAUUACUGGGCGUAAAGCGUACGCAGGCGGUUCGGAAAGAAAGAUGUGAAAUCCCAGAGCUUAACUUUGGAACUGCAUUUUUAACUACCGAGCUAGAGUGUGUCAGAGGAGAUUGAAUUCCGCGUGUAGCAGUGAAAUGCGUAGAUAUGCGGAGGAACACCGAUGGCGAAGGCAGCCUCUGGGAUAACACUGACGCUCAUGCACGAAAGCGUGGGGAGCAAACAGGGAUUAGAUACCCUGGUAGUCGCCUAAACGAUGUCAACUAGCUGUUGGGGCCUUCCGGGCCUUGGUAGCGCAGCUAACGCGUGAAGUUGACCGCCUGGGGAGUACGGUCGCAAGAUUAAAACUCAAAGGAAUUGACGGGGAUUGCACAAGCGGUGGAUGAUGUGGAUUAAUUCGAUGCAACGCGAAAAACCUUACCUACCCUUGACAUGUCUGGAAUCCCGAAGAGAUUUGGGAGUGCUCGCAAGAGAACCGGAACACAGGUGCUGCAUGGCUGUCGUCAGCUCGUGUCGUGAGAGAUGUUGGGUUAAGUCCACAACGAGCGCAACCCUUGUCAUUAGUUGCUACGAAAGGGCACUCUAAUGAGACUGCCAUUGACAAACCGGAGGAAGGUGGGGAUGACGUCAAGUCCUCAUGGCCCUUAUGGGUAGGGCUUCACACGUCAUACAAUGGUCGGGACAGAGGGUCGCCAACCCGCGAGGGAGCCAAUCCCAGAAACCCGAUCGUAGUCCGGAUCGCAGUCUGCAACUCGACUGCGUGAAGUCGGAAUCGCUAGUAAUCGCGGAUCAGCAUGUCGCGGUGAAUACGUUCCCGGGUCUUGUACACACCGCCCGUCACACCAUGGGAGUGGGUUUACCAGAAGUAGUUAGCCUAACCGUAAGGAGGGCGAUUACCACAUUAGGAUUCAUGACUGGGUGAAGUCGUAACAAGGUAA
Molecule: ribosomal RNA, 1461 nt
Filed under: uncultured Bordetella sp.
Lineage: Bacteria; Pseudomonadati; Pseudomonadota; Betaproteobacteria; Burkholderiales; Alcaligenaceae
Description: partial 16S-23S ribosomal RNA intergenic spacer
Rfam family: Bacterial small subunit ribosomal RNA
Source: RNAcentral